UUCUAAUCAUAUAAUUCAUUCAUUUUGUUUCACAUAAACUCUUAUUAAAUCAUCAGCAAGUACUGCUACAAUCCACUAUUCAACCAUAUUUUAUGUAUACAAACCAUGAUUUGGUUAAACUAAAAACUUAACUUAAUGAGCCAUCAAUACAUGUCUAAUCUAUAAAAGUAUUCAAAUGUAACUUGAAAAGUUGUACUAAAGGGACGAAACUCACAAGGCCAUACCGACAC
Molecule: long non-coding RNA, 230 nt
Filed under: Mytilus galloprovincialis (Mediterranean mussel)
Lineage: Eukaryota; Metazoa; Mollusca; Bivalvia; Mytilida; Mytilidae
Source: RNAcentral